Molecule: ribosomal RNA, 211 nt
Filed under: uncultured bacterium
Lineage: Bacteria
Description: partial 16S ribosomal RNA
Rfam family: Bacterial small subunit ribosomal RNA
Source: RNAcentral
UAGGGAAUCUUCCACAAUGGACGCAAGUCUGAUGGAGCAACGCCGCGUGAGUGAAGAAGGCUUUCGGGUCGUAAAACUCUGUUAUUGAAGAAGAACGUGUGUGACAGUAACUGGUCAUGCAGUGACGGUAUUCAAUCAGAAAGUCACGGCUAACUACGUGCCAGCAGCCGCGGUAAUACGUAGGUGGCAAGCGUUGUCCGGAUUUAUUGGG